GUUAUGUGUUUAGGCAGACGAUGUCCGCGGUCAUUCUAUGAAAUACAGAGUUUGUAAAGGGGACGGCUUUGCCGCGAGCGGCUCCACCCUCCCAAAGGUUCACAGGGGUUUGGUUUGGAAGGCACGCCCAGGGGCCCGCAGCACGGCGUCUCCGCCGGUGCAGGGCCGACCCGAGCGGCCGAACGAACACGUUAAUGAUCCUUCCGCAGGUUCACCUACGGAAA
This 224-nucleotide unclassified non-coding RNA is filed under the name uncultured fungus. RNAcentral describes it as "sequence contains ITS1". Lineage: Eukaryota; Fungi. The record is from RNAcentral.